Molecule: long non-coding RNA, 3303 nt
Filed under: Trifolium pratense (red clover)
Lineage: Eukaryota; Viridiplantae; Streptophyta; Magnoliopsida; Fabales; Fabaceae
Description: long non-coding RNA (TPRA_LNC001123)
Source: RNAcentral
CCGAUGAUGGUAGAGGCAAUGCAUCGGAACUAUUAGAUUGGUUAGAAUCAUCUUCAUUGUUCCCGUGCUCCAUUCCUAAUUUCUUCGAGGCCAUCUUGUCUACUUGCAUCUCUGUGUGGUAUACUAUUGAGCUUAAAACCCUUUUAUACAGAGGAAAAAAACGGAACUCGCGUAAAAUUAAAGGGAAACACGUCAAAGCUCGUUCCCCAUUGGUCACCUCAUCCCCAAAUAAAGAAGAUUUCAAAAUUGGAAAAAGUGAUACAUUAUUUUAAUUUGAAACAUAAAAGUUAAUGUUAUUGUACCAAAUCUCACUCAACAUUUGUUACUAUGCUUUGAACUCUGAAUAUUAAAUUUUAAAAUUUUAAAAAAACUAAGUUGAUUAAGGCAAAGUCGCACAAAACGGACAUCUCGUUAAUUUUAUUUUUUCUGGAUGCAGUCAAGGUAGUCAAGGAAAUAACGCUAAAACAACGUACUACUCAAUAAGGAAAGGAACUGCCAUUUAUUUAAAAAUAAAGGAAUAAAAUGAUAAUCUAUUUCUACAUUGACAAAUUAACAAAUUCAAUAAUAUUUUUACCCGAAAAAUAUAAUAUUUAAAUGUAAAAUUACAUUAAGGUGCUUUCUGCAAAGAAUCCGUAACACUAAUUAUAUUGUAAUAGGCUAACUAUGCAGGAUACUCAGAUAUGAGACACAACAUGGAUACAAUACAAAACCUUCAAGAGGACAUGGAAAAUUCUGAACAGGAAAGGAUGCUACAGAGUUAAGUAUAAUAGUAAAAUGGAAGAAAAAAUCGUAAAAGAUUAACACACAAGUGUGGCUCAUAUAGAUCCUAAUACUUCCACCUGCAUUUGAAUAUAAAUUGAUAUGCUCUCGUUUUCAUUCCUAAGCAUAAAUAUUAAAAGUUAGAAUGAUAGCUCAAAAAAAAAAUUGAAAGAUUGUAGUAUGUAGAAUAGCACGAUUCAAUUGAUGAAUAAGAAGUGUCCAUAAUGGCACAUAUCUAACACCAGUACAGCAACUACUUUGUAAUCAUCCAAUCUUCUUGUUGGACUAUUUUCUCCUCUUAUGCAUCCCUAGUAAAGCAAUUAUAUGUAAGUAUGAUUUUGUGUUUUUCUACACAUUAACAAAUGGAAUUAAAGGUACCCAAACCAGAGAGGUUUGACUUACAUGCUAGAGGUGUGCACCUUCAUGAAGCAUCUUUUCUUUAGGCAGCAAGAGGACAUGGCAAUUUCUGAAAAGGAAAGGAUGCAACACAGUUAUUUGGUAACACAAAAACACAAAACAUAAAGAUUAACAUACAUGUGUUUGAACAUACAUUGUUGUGUAUUCAUUGCUUGUUCCUGGCAUAAAUCUUAAAAGUUGGAAUGAUAGUUCCAAAACAAUGGUGAAAGAUUGUAGUAUGCAGGCCAGAAGCAUUCAAUUGGCCAAUGAAGAGUAUCCAGCACGAUUUUGUGCUUUUUUGUAAACAGUAAUAAAUAGAGUUAAAAAAAAGCCUUACCUAAACAAGAAAGGCCAGACUAACAUGCUGGUGUGAACCUUGUUGAAGCAACUUUCCUUUAGUCAGCAACACAGCAAGAAGCAACUUUGCUUUAAAUGAUUUUUAGUCUGUACAAUAUACACCAAUUUUGAAUUUAGCCCUUAUAACAAUUUCUUACUAGUUUUAAUCCUUUAAACAUAAGAAAAGCUGUUUUUGGUCCUUGUUGUUUUGGAUUUAGUCACUAUAUUGUCCAUAUCAUAUCAGAUUUAAUCAUUGUAAAAUGUGAACUAUAUUGAUUUAUGUCCUUGGAAUAAGGACAAUAUAGAGAGUUACAAACAUAGAUAAAUAUUUUCUUUUUUGGUACAUAAACAUAGAUAAAUCUUACAAGAGCUAAAACAAACAAAAAAGGACCAAAAGCAAAUUUUCAAUGUUUCAAGACAAUCUUGUUAUGGACUAAACUAGAAAAGGUGUAUAUCACAGGGACCAAAAUUUCAUUUAAGCCGUUUUCAUUUGACAACAUGUAACCUUAUGCUUACUAAAAGUUGAUUUUCACAAUCACAAGUGAUUUUCCAAAAAAUUUGCAACCAUCAUAAGUGAAUAUUGGUCUUAAUUAUUUCUUGAAUCUAACCCAAAACACACAUUCCUCAACCCCCUCGUAUCAAAAUUAACAAUGCCAGAACUAGCGAUGCAUGCUUCUAGCUUGGCAAUUCUAUCCUUUAAAUUUAUGAAUGAAACAAAAAAAAAAAUUGAAACCCAAACACACAAAGAACUUUAGAUUUCUGAUCUGUUUUUUUUUAACAAGCAGAUUUCUGAUCUUUAAUUACAGGAAUGAAAUGACAUGGAGAUGAGGGUGAAUAAACAAAUGUAAAAAGGACAAAAUUUUUUUUUGAAAACUUGGUAUCCGGCCUUAGGACCGACUAAUCCAAGGGGACCAAUCUCACCGCCCACUUGCGAGGGCCCCAUUUAAAGCCAGGGUUUUUUUUUGCUCUGUAUGGACUUAGCCCACCGAAAUUGGCACCAGUGAGAAUCGAACCUGAGACCUUGAGAGGAGCAUACUCCAAGGGCCCAAGCCAACACCACUCGACCAACCCCAAGUGGGUUAAAAAGGACAAAAUUGACACUCAACAUAAGCACUUGAUACGUCUAAUGUUCUUAUCAAUGAAUUAACCACAAAUUUAACAAGAAAGCAAAAAAUCUAACAAGGCUAUAAUGCAGCUUAUAGCAACAAAACCCUAAAAAUUAGGUUUUCUCUAUCCCCUAAUUGCUAAUCUGAAGCUACAAUUUGGAAAUUUUCUCACUUGAACAACCAACUUACAAAAGUGGAGGAUCAACUUAGAAAUUUAUGCACAGAGAGUAAACUUAAUGAAACCAUAAAAAAUUAUCUAACCAUUCUUUCUAAGCAAUAAACUUUGUUACUAUAAAAUUUUCGUGCAACCAACCAAGCAACAUAGAACUUAAUCCAAUGUAAAAAAGAUUAUAACUUUAAGAAUCAUAGGUUAUUAUAACAAAAAGGGUUGUUGCUGUUAGUGAUAACUGAGUUUUGAUUCAUUGAGGACUUUUCACAAACACAUUAAUGCAUAAACGAAAUUCUAGAGAAGUUGAAGUUUAGCUUAGUAAAAGGAGAAGGAAAAUCUCAUCUUUGAGUUGAAUCAAGAACUGGUUGAAUCUUGGGACAUGGUGGUGGAGACAAAAUCACAAUGAAUGAUGAUGUUAGUGUUCCGUCCUUGGUAUUGCUCUUUUCGGUGGUGUUUUGUUUCCGUUUAUUUCCCACGUUAGGAAAAAUAUACUAACAAAAAAAUAAAACAGUUUAAAAUGUGGAGUGUGGAGUUUAA